GCCAGCAGCCGCGGUAAUACGUAGGAGGCUAACGUUAUCCGGAUUUAUUGGGCGUAAAGCGCGUGUAGGCGGUUUGAUAAGUUGGACGUGAAAGCUCCUGGCUCAACUGGGAGAGGUCGUUCAAUACUGUCAGACUUGAGGAUGGUAGAGGGAGGUGGAAUUCCGGGUGUAGUGGUGAAAUGCGCAGAUAUCCGGAGGAACACCAGUGGCGAAAGCGGCCUCCUGGACCAGUCCUGACGCUCAGACGCGAAAGCUAGGGUAGCAAACGGGAUUAGAGACCCCGGUAGUCCUAGCCGUAAACGAUGUGAACUUGGCGUCGGUGGGAUUAAAUCCAUCGGUGUCGAAGCUAACGCGAUAAGUUCACCGCCUGAGGACUACGGCCCGCAGGUUAAAAACUCAAAGAAUUGACGGGGACC
RNAcentral lists this ribosomal RNA (416 nucleotides) under uncultured bacterium. RNAcentral describes it as "bacterial SSU rRNA". It matches the Rfam family "Bacterial small subunit ribosomal RNA", at positions 507 to 921 of the family's 1533-position model. The record is from RNAcentral.